RNAcentral lists this ribosomal RNA (254 nucleotides) under uncultured bacterium. Its description in RNAcentral is "partial 16S ribosomal RNA". It matches the Rfam family "Bacterial small subunit ribosomal RNA", at positions 524 to 776 of the family's 1533-position model. The record is from RNAcentral.
UACAGAGGUCUCAAGCGUUGUUCGGAUUCAUUGGGCGUAAAGGGCGCGUAGGCGGCCACCGCAAGUCGACUGUGAAAUCUCCGGGCUUAACCCGGAAAGGUCAGCCGAUACUGCGGGGCUAGAGUGCAGAAGGGGCAACUGGAAUUCUCGGUGUAGCGGUGAAAUGCGUAGAUAUCGAGAGGAACACCUGCGGCGAAGGCGGGUUGCUGGGCUGACACUGACGCUGAGGCGCGAAAGCUAGGGGGGCAAACGGG